RNAcentral lists this ribosomal RNA (253 nucleotides) under uncultured bacterium. Its description in RNAcentral is "partial 16S ribosomal RNA". It matches the Rfam family "Bacterial small subunit ribosomal RNA", at positions 524 to 776 of the family's 1533-position model. The record is from RNAcentral.
GACGAACCGAGCGAACGUUGUUCGGAAUCACUGGGCUUAAAGGGCGCGUAGGCGGGCAACCAAGUCCGGGGUGAAAUCCUCCAGCUCAACUGGAGAAGUGCCUCGGAUACUGGCUGCCUCGAGGAGGGUAGGGGCAUCUGGAACUAGCGGUGGAGCGGUGAAAUGCGUUGAUAUCGCUAGGAACUCCGGUGGCGAAGGCGAGGUGCUGGACCCUUUCUGACGCUGAGGCGCGAAAGCCAGGGGAGCGAACGGG